Molecule: ribosomal RNA, 253 nt
Filed under: uncultured bacterium
Lineage: Bacteria
Description: partial 16S ribosomal RNA
Rfam family: Bacterial small subunit ribosomal RNA
Source: RNAcentral
UACGGGGGGGGCAAGCGUUGUUCGGAAUUACUGGGCGUAAAGCGCACGUAGGCGGCUCUUUAAGUCGGGGGUGAAAUCCUGGAGCUCAACUCCAGAACUGCCUUCGAUACUGUAGAGCUUGAGUUCGGGAGAGGUGAGUGGAACUGCGAGUGUAGAGGUGAAAUUCGUAGAUAUUCGCAAGAACACCAGUGGCGAAGGCGGCUCACUGGCCCGAUACUGACGCUGAGGCGCGAAAGCGUGGGGAGCAAACAGG